GAACACAAAGACGGGGGAGAGGCCUUCUCUAGGCCCCGCGGCCUGGCCGGCUGCGGCCGGGGGCUUGAUGGUGCGGGGGGCGUGUGUCCCUCAGGGCCGCUUGUUCUGGAUGAGAAGUGAGGAUGAGUACCUGGCUACGUUUUGUUCUCAGGAACCUCCUUCCUCCCUCUGGAGCUGACCUCUGGAUGCUCCCUGGUUUCACAGAUGAGCUCGGUCUGAGGGGUUUAUUCACAGAGAAUCAGGAGACAGUCUUCAAAAUGACCAGUGAACUGAAGAAGCUGGGCUGGGAGCAUCUGUAUCUUCCCAUUUGAAAACCUCGCCUGUUGCUUGCUCCUACCGAAACCUGGAAAUGCCGGCCUGUUUGAAGUGAAGACUCCCAAGAAGGAGAAUAUCUUGUUUUGUCAGUCCCACUGGCACAGCUCUGGUUUGUUUGAUCUCGACGCCUUGUGUCGGAGGAACAGGUUGAUGGUCCCUUCUGGGACAGAUCAGUAACGCCUUUCUCUGAAGUAUCUCCGUGUUGUCCAGUUGAUGAUGUUAAGAGAGCACACGGUGGCAGCUGGUGCUGGAGGAACUUGGGAGAGGAUGGUGGUUACUGAGGAGGUUAGGGAUUUGCAAAGAGCCCCAAAAUCUGGGUCUGGUUCCCACUGAUGUUGUGUCACUCCGGGCUAUCUCGUAAUAGGAAAUGAUGCUGUAGCCAAAGACAGCCCUAGAAACUAAUGUAGUCACUUCCUCACCUCCAGGGUUUUCUGAUUAAACUCAGAAAUGGUUUCUAAAGCUGGUUCUGCAUUUUCCAUGUACAGUAUUACUAACCCCAAACUUAAC
RNAcentral lists this long non-coding RNA (822 nucleotides) under Calidris pugnax (ruff). Its description in RNAcentral is "lncRNA (ENSCPUG00000009909.1)". Lineage: Eukaryota; Metazoa; Chordata; Aves; Charadriiformes; Scolopacidae. The record is from RNAcentral.